Molecule: ribosomal RNA, 952 nt
Filed under: Epizoanthus scotinus
Lineage: Eukaryota; Metazoa; Cnidaria; Anthozoa; Zoantharia; Epizoanthidae
Description: partial 12S ribosomal RNA
Rfam family: Bacterial small subunit ribosomal RNA
Source: RNAcentral
CCCCUAGGACGAGGCAGCAGUAGAGAAUAUUGUGCAAUAUACGUCAGUAUGACACAGAGAGCACACAUCCCACUUAGCCUGUCAAAUUAAGUGCCAGCAGACGCGGUUAGACUUAAGGGCUAAGCCUUUAUAGGUAAAAGGGCGUAAAGGGUGUGUAGGCCGACAAUCCCCCCCCCCAAGGUGGUAAAUGGAAUUUUUCUGUAACGGUAGAAUGUGUGGAUAGAAAAUAGAACCCCAAAGGCAAAAGCAAUUUACCUCGGGGAAGGGGUGGAAACCAGAUAUUCCCGAUCGGGACCUAUCACUCCCCCCCGAGCACAGGCUGAAACACGAGGGUGUGGGUAACAAACAGGAUUAGAGACCCUGGUAGUCCACACUGUAAACGAUGAAGAAAAUGUUAAUGCAACCCCGAAAGGUAGUAAUCUUCCGCCUGAGUAGUACGAUCGCAAGAUUAAAAUUCAAAAAAUUUGGCUGUUCACUGUUUCGAUUAGAGGAGCGUGUAGUUUAAUUCGAUAAACCGCGAGAUACCUUACCCAAACUUGAAUCACCCAUCCGAGAUUGAAUGGUCUCGGGAGGGUAGACCGGUAUUGCAUGGCCGUCGUCAGUUCGUGUAUGAAACCUUUAACGGACCUAACCCGGGGGUUAGCCGCGGAUGAAGUCAGGUCUUAUGAUCCCUAUGUUUGGGGAUAAUAUGCGCUACAUUUUCUUAUACAAUGGGAAACCUGAAAGGUGAAACCCCAAAGUAGGAGUUCGGUAGGUCAUUGUAAGAUGACCGAAAGUUGAAUUUAAUAGUAAUCGGAAAGUAGAGCGUUCCGGUGAAAUGAUCUAAGUGUUAGCACAAAUCGCCCGUCACCUUAACUUAGAACGAUAGUACGGACGCAGCCCAGCCAGCUCGCAAUGUCGAGGCCCCCCUCAAGGGGGGUGAGGCUUCGGUGUCACGAAUCUCUACGAAGUA